CCUACGGGUGGCAGCAGUGAGGAAUAUUGGUCAAUGGACGGAAGCCUGAACCAGCCAUGCCGCGUGCGGGAAGACGUCUCUAUGAGUGGUAAACUGCUUUUGUACAGGGGUAAACCUCAAUACGUGUGUUGAGCUGCAAGUACUGUUCGAAUCAGGAUCGGCUAAUUCCGUGCCAGCAGCAGCGGUAAUACGGAGGAUCCAAGCGUUAUCCGGAUUUAUUGGGUUUACAGGGUGCGUAGGCGGUGUGAUAAGUUAGAGGUGAAAUGUCCGAGCUUAACUCGGGAACUGCCUUUGAUACUGUUGACCUAGAGUGCAGAAGGGGUAGGCGGAAUGUAUGGUGUAGCGGUGAAAUGCUUAGAGAUCAGGAAGAACACCGAUUGCGAAGGCAGCUUACCGAGCUGUAACUGACGUUGAGGCUCGAAAGCGUGGGGAGCAAACAGGAUUAGAUACCCUUGUAGUC
This 460-nucleotide ribosomal RNA is filed under the name uncultured bacterium. RNAcentral's name for it is "partial 16S ribosomal RNA". It matches the Rfam family "Bacterial small subunit ribosomal RNA", at positions 338 to 795 of the family's 1533-position model. The record is from RNAcentral.